UGCGCAUGCGCAGACAGAGUGUGCGAGCGGCGGGCCUUGACCUUUCGGGAAAAAAAACUCACGGACGGUGACAGCGAAACGGAUAACAGUCUUCAGUACCUGCUGGACUUUGAAGCUGUGGAUUCUGGGACUGUUAGAAAAGAGGCAGCGGCGAGAGGGGAGACCUCGGCUCAUCCAGCUGGAGAGCCUGACCAGGAGGAGUCGAACAUUAACUCAGCUCUUCCAGGGCACCCUGCAGACUCGGCUGCUGGCAUCGGCGAGGGAUGACGUGAACGCCAAACUGGAGUCCAUCACAGGUCAACUGCAGCUCCUUGUCUCAGAGUGGGAGGGAUUUGAAGCACAAAGGGAGGAGCUUGUCGUUUGGUUGGCUGAUAUGGAUGUCCGCCUGAGAGGUUGACCAGCUGACAGGAAACACCAGUGAAAAACUGAAACAACUGCAGGUGUGGGCUUGUUUUGAUAUGACAUAUGUUUGAUAUGAAACAU
Astatotilapia calliptera (eastern happy) is the source of this 483-nucleotide long non-coding RNA. NCBI's taxonomy places the organism in Eukaryota, Metazoa, Chordata, Actinopteri, Cichliformes, Cichlidae. The record is from Ensembl.